UGGGGAAUUUUUGCACAAUGGGGGAAACCCUGAUGCAGCGACGCCGCGUGAUUUAGAAGGCCUUCGGGUUGUAAAAAUCUUUUCUAUGGGAAGAAAAUGACAGUACCAUAGGAAUAAGGACCGGCUAAUUACGUGCCAGCAGCCGCGGUAAUACGUAAGGUCCGAGCGUUGUCCGGAAUCAUUGGGCGUAAAGGGUACGUAGGCGGGUAAGCAAGUUAGAAGUGAAAUCCUAUAGCUCAACUAUAGUAAGCUUUUAAAACUGCUCAGCUUGAGGUAUGGAAGGGAAAGUGGAAUUCCUAGUGUAGCGGUGAAAUGCGCAGAUAUUAGGAGGAAUACCGGUGGCGAAGGCGACUUUCUGGCCAUAACCUGACGCUGAGGUACGAAAGCGUGGGUAGCAAACAGG
RNAcentral lists this ribosomal RNA (403 nucleotides) under bacterium. RNAcentral describes it as "partial 16S ribosomal RNA". It matches the Rfam family "Bacterial small subunit ribosomal RNA", at positions 355 to 776 of the family's 1533-position model. The record is from RNAcentral.